Molecule: ribosomal RNA, 472 nt
Filed under: Gremmenia infestans
Lineage: Eukaryota; Fungi; Ascomycota; Leotiomycetes; Helotiales; Hamatocanthoscyphaceae
Description: SSU rRNA
Rfam family: Eukaryotic small subunit ribosomal RNA
Source: RNAcentral
UGCGAAUGGCUCAUUAAAUCAGUUAUCGUUUAUUUGAUAGUACCUUACUACUUGGAUAACCGUGGUAAUUCUAGAGCUAAUACAUGCUAAAAACCUCGACUUCGGGAGGGGUGUAUUUAUUAGAUAAAAAACCAAUGCCCUCCGGGGCUCCUUGGUGAUUCAUAAUAACUUAACGAAUCGCAUGGCCUUGUGCCGGCGAUGGUUCAUUCAAAUUUCUGCCCUAUCAACUUUCGAUGGUAGGAUAGUGGCCUACCAUGGUUUCAACGGGUAACGGGGAAUUAGGGUUCUAUUCCGGAGAGGGAGCCUGAGAAACGGCUACCACAUCCAAGGAAGGCAGCAGGCGCGCAAAUUACCCAAUCCCGACACGGGGAGGUAGUGACAAUAAAUACUGAUACAGGGCUCUUUUGGGUCUUGUAAUUGGAAUGAGUACAAUUUAAAUCCCUUAACGAGGAACAAUUGGAGGGCAAGUCUG